AAAGACAAAGCGACCCAAUCCGUACGUGGGAAAGCAGUACACCAUUCGGAUAUAGGCAGCAUACACACCGCCGUUGGCCGGGACGGGCAAAGUAAACAAAUGAUCGUAUAGUGACUAGCUAGCAAGCACGCUAGUAGAGCCAGGAGAGGGCUGGAAAGAUGGCAUCGGCUGAUCAACCUGAUCCCCAAACUCAGCCUGGCGUUCCGUCCGGAGACGAUGCAGCGGUCCCCAGAGAAGCGCUGAUAUCCACAGCCGUCAAAUUCCUCCAGAACCAGAGAGUACGGCAAAGCCCCCUGGACACCAGAAGAGCUUUCCUGGUGAAGAAAGGACUGACCGGUGAGGAGGUGGAGUUGGCCCUGCAGCGUUCGGGCAGCACAGAUGACAGCCAGGCCCUCAGCCCUCUGGGGCCUUCAUACCCGCUCCACCCCCCCCACCUGGCUCCUGUACCGCACAGUUCCCUAGGUUACCGAUGGAGAGAUUACGGAGCCCUGACUGUCUUCAUGGUGGGCGUGGCCUUUGGGUUCCAUCACCUGUACCGGAAAUACAUCCUCCCCCUCAUCGUGGGCAGUCGAGAAGACAAGCAACAUCUGCAGAGGAUGGAGAGCAGCGUUGCGGCCAUGAGUGGCACGGUGACACAGACAGUGUCCCAGCUCCAACAGACCCUGGCUACGGUUCAAGACCUUCUGGUCCAGCAACAGGAGAAGAUCCAGGGCCUGCCCCAGGAACUGGUCUCUUCUGAGGCUUCCAUGGCAACCAACCGAAUUCUGGACACCCAGACCAUCGCGGAGCUGAAGGCAGAGAUAGCGUCUCUGAAAGGCUUGCUGCUCAGCAGGAGGCAGUUUCCUGCCUCUCCCUCCGUCCCAAAGAUCCCGUCGUGGCAGAUCCCCCUGAAGCCCUCCCCCGUGCCCCCCUCCCCAUCCCUCAACCAGUCCAACAGCAGCAGCGACAUCUCCCCCGUCAGCAACGACUCCGCCUCCUGCUCCCCCAUCAAAGAUGGCCGCCACAGCCCCCAGAAUGCCCUGGGGGGGCCCGACGGGGCCCACGCCGUCAACGGAGACUUGGGCCCCGGGGGUCUAGGGGCCUCCUUGCCUCUGGACCUCAAGGACCAGGUCCGCAUGGAGGUCCAGGGAGAGGAGGAGAAGAAAGAAGAGGAUGAUGAGGAGAAGGAGGAUGAGGAUGAGGAAGAGGAUGCGGGCCACGUGGACGAAGAUGAGGUGCUCAGUGUGCAGACUGAGGACAGGCGCGGAGGCGAUGGACAGAUCAACGAACAAGUGGACAAACUACGCAAGCCAGAGGGGGCGAGCAACGAGAGCGAGGUAGAUUAGGGCCCCGGUACCCAAACGACUACUACAUCAACCCCCGUCCCUUUACGUGUGGUUUUCAUUUCAGCCGAAGGUCCCUCUUCUCCUGCACUGCUUUUUGUCUUUUCUCUCUGUACCUGUGUUGAGUCUCUUUCUCUGUCGCCAUCAGCCAUGUUCCUAGAGCAGGAAAACAGCACACACACACUUUAGUGACGCAGCAAAACGGAACAGUCGUCGCCUCGCAUUCACGAUGACACGCACCUCAGUUCCAUCAUCUUUUCAUCGUGCAACCAUAGGCUUGCCUAGGCAAGGAAAACCGUGUCAACUUUGAGUGGGAUGAUGAAAAACAGCAAUAUUCGAUAAAGAUCAUAGGUAUAUGUAUGUUUAGUAAGUGUUUCCUCACUCUCUCUCUCUCUGGGACUCCUGUUUCUGUCUCGCCCGUACAGUUCAUCUUAACGGCAACACAACCUCAAAGGUAGCUUAGAUGUCCACGUUAUAAAGCGGAGUUUCAUCAACUUCCUGGACACCAAAGAAGUAAAAAAUGUGUUCCUCUUCCAUACUUCAUUUCUACGACCAUGGCCUGGUGGGCUAGUUUUACCGUCUGACAAUCACCAGGAGAGCCCGGGGCGUGUGGAGCACGUGGCAAACAGGCCAGGCCUGGAGAUCCUUCCCUCUUUUAUGUGUCCCCCCGCGUUGGUGUCAGUCUGUCAAUAAUUCACCAGGCCAGGAGGGUGGCAUUUGGGUGAAAUGAAGCCCUUGCAGUUUGAGAUUAGAAUGCAGCGGGCGCUUUUGUUCCGUCCCAGAGUUCCGACAGCUCUCCUACAGUAGGCCCACAUGAGAGGAAUAAAGAGAACCGUUUUCUUUGUAUAUCUUAUUUCCCUCCCUUUCCCUUUUGUGGAGGCUGAGUGGUGCACAUCUCUAUAUUCAGCGAGAGAAAGAGAAAGUGACAGAUGGGAAGAGACGAGACAGAGAGAGAGACAGAGAGAGAGAGAGAGAGAGAGAGAGAGAGAGAGAGAGAGAGAGAGGUUUGGAGAGAACGAGAGAGGAUCCAUUCUGUCUGUUGAGCUCCAUCCCUCGUCUCCAGCAGGGCGGCUGAUUUGGUUUGUGAAGUAUGUUAAUAAUCAAAUGAUCAACAAAUAACAGAUGUAUUAGUUCAUGCAGCUUGAAAUGUCAAGGAGGCUAAAAGCGGAAAUCUAAUACUGAAAGCCCCUGUUGCAUUAUAUUAUAUUUCACGACAAACCCUCCGGUCCAAAUUAUAUAGGGCCUCCCACAGUGAGUAAUCUUCACGCAAAACGGGCACCAAUAUUUUGUAAUUAAACCGCGGGAGCAGCAAUGAAGGUUGCCACAGAACUUGUGCACGCAUUUUGUGCUGGCCUUUUUCUUCUUCUUUUCAGGGGUCUGGCCCAGGAAGAGGAGGAGGGAUGGCGGGAGGGGAGGUUGAAGAAAUAAAAAAUCCCGCUGAUUGAAACUGAAAGUAACAAAUGAAUACUUACCUUAUUAGAUUACUCACUCUCCAGCUGAGAAGAAAAGAGAGAGAGAGAAAGAAAGAAGGGUAUCGCCUCUCUUAUGGCAUUUUCCCUUAACGUCAAAUAGCCUUGAGCGUAAUAGGGUGGAGGCGACCAGUCAUACCAGGCAUACAGCCAGAGGCCUGAAUAGCUGUCAUAGACAAGAAGCAAUGCGACAGAUGAUAAAACAAAAAAUAUAACUGAAGCUAAAUACUGUAACUGACACACUUUGUGAUUGUGGUUUAUUUGAUUGAAGAGCAAAAUAUGACUGUAAAUGACGUUCACAGUGACAGAUAAGAUGGAAAAAUUGAAUUGAGAGGUUCUAAGUGUCGCCCCUGCCUUUAAACUACUGGAGUUACACUAAAUGAUCCUCAGAGUAGAAACGUACCCAUCUUAUAAUCAUAGCUGCCGUAUGAAUGAACUUCUGAUAUCUAACAGAAAUGUAUAUAAUUGUAAUAAAUUUGGUUAUUGUAUGUGAA
RNA transcript from Hypomesus transpacificus, 3285 nucleotides. It is a transcript of the gene named peroxisomal biogenesis factor 14, with no coding region annotated. The record is from RefSeq and is a predicted model, not a curated record. The transcript is spliced from 10 exons. Lineage: Eukaryota; Metazoa; Chordata; Actinopteri; Osmeriformes; Osmeridae.